Molecule: ribosomal RNA, 327 nt
Filed under: Harmonia quadripunctata (cream-streaked ladybird beetle)
Lineage: Eukaryota; Metazoa; Arthropoda; Insecta; Coleoptera; Coccinellidae
Description: partial 16S ribosomal RNA
Source: RNAcentral
UAUAAUUUAAAGUAGGGCCUGCCCACUGAAUUUUUGAAGGGCCGCAGUAUUUUGACUGUGCAAAGGUAGCAUAAUCAUUAGUUUUUUAAUUGAAAGCUUGUAUGAAUGGUUUGAUGAGAAGAUAGCUUUCUAUAAAUAAUUGUAUAAAAAUUUUAUUUUUAAGUUAAAAAGCUUAAAUUUUGAUAAAAGACGAGAAGACCCUAUAGAGUUUAAUUUACAACAUAAAUUUAGUUUUUAGAAUUUUAAUAAUUUAGUUUUUGGAGUAAAUUUCAUUGGGGUGAUGGAAAAAUAAGAUUAACUUUUUUUAUUAAAUUACAUUAAUUUAUG